Molecule: ribosomal RNA, 253 nt
Filed under: uncultured bacterium
Lineage: Bacteria
Description: partial 16S ribosomal RNA
Rfam family: Bacterial small subunit ribosomal RNA
Source: RNAcentral
UACGGGGGGGGCAAGCGUUGUUCGGAAUUACUGGGCGUAAAGGGCUCGUAGGCGGCCAACUAAGUCAGACGUGAAAUUCCUCGGCUUAACCGGGGAACUGCGUCUGAUACUGGAUGGCUUGAAUCCGGGAGAGGGAUGCGGAAUUCCAGGUGUAGCGGUGAAAUGCGUAGAUAUCUGGAGGAACACCGGUGGCGAAGGCGGCAUCCUGGACCGGCAUUGACGCUGAGGAGCGAAAGCCAGGGGAGCAAACGGG